UACGAAGGGGCGAGCGUUGUUCGGAAUUACUGGGCGUAAAGGGCGCGUAGGCGGCCCCUUUUGUCGCGUGUGAAAGCCCCGGGCUCAACCUGGGAGGUGCGCGCGAAACGGGGGGCUUGAGUUCGGAGAGGAGCGUGGAAUUCCCAGUGUAGAGGUGAAAUUCGUAGAUAUUGGGAAGAACACCAAUGGCGAAGGCAGCUCUCUGGGACGGUACUGACGCUGAGACGCGAAAGCGUGGGAGCGAACAGG
Molecule: ribosomal RNA, 249 nt
Filed under: uncultured bacterium
Lineage: Bacteria
Description: partial 16S ribosomal RNA
Rfam family: Bacterial small subunit ribosomal RNA
Source: RNAcentral